AUGGUGAAAGCAGACAAACUCCUAACGGGAGCUCUUCCCUGGAAACUGUGCCACAGCAUGGAGAUGGUGACAAACCUCUUAAGGAAAAGUCUGAGCCUUUCUCAUGGGAUAAACCUGGAGCAACUGCAGUUUCCACAAAUGGAAGGUAAAGUUAGUGUGAAAUUCCUUCAUUCACUUCAGUACUGUGUAGAUAAUAAACUUCUCCACUUCAGCUGUCUGGAAGCUCUGAGUGGAUACUUACUGAUGGAAAAGCACAAUUCAGUCUGUGCUUUGCAGAACUGCAGUGGUUUCUCUAACAUUUUAUUUGAGAAGAACUAAAAUGAGAACAUUGUCUUUUUACAGACAAUUGUUUGAUAUUGUUCCAGUUCUUAGCUUAGCUUCUAUUACACAGGGAAAAUAGAACUUUCCUGGGUCAUUUCUGCAUUUUCUGGAUUUAUUCCCAAAUGCAGACUGAUUACAUUUUAUUUCUUUAUUUAUUUAUUACGGUAUAGAGAGCUUCACAUCUGAGACAACUCCAGGCUUCCACCUAUCAACUUAUUUUUACAACAAGGUUCUCCUUAGAAAAGAUAAAGGCUAGAAACUCCCUUUUCUUCUAAAGUGUCUGGAAAAAGGUUCAGUUGCUAGGAAAAGUUGUCCUGACUCUAAGGUAUUGUGAAAACUAGUUAAAGAUCCCAUAACUACAGGUGCAGUUGUUGUCUCUGACUGCAGUCCAUUGUCACUGCUCUGCUUGCCUUUUGCGUGCAUGAGAAUCAUCAUCUGCUCCCACCUUACUGGGAACCAUCCUUGGCAGAAUCCUGAUCCUUCCUGUGGGCACCAGUAUUUUUGGCAUCCAAAGUAGCUGAUACCCAGUGGAGCUCCUUUACUGGGACUCCACACUGCUGCUGUUCACCUCCAUAUCCCGGUCCUCGAAGGUCUUCUCCUUCUCUGGGAAGCAAUGGUUUAAUUUGGUCCAGAAAUCAGUGCAAGUACGAAGGUACCUCUCAGACAUCCACUGAAGGUGACUGAAACAACCCAGUUCCUUCCUGUUCUGUGGCAAUAAGACAGUUUAUUUUACAACUUUUCUAGAGAGCCUGACCGCUACUGGAAGGGGAAACACAUAAAUUAGAUUCUCAAAUUAACAAAGUUGCAAAUGCAAAGAGCUGUGUUUCUGUCCAGCCUGACACAGUGGAAUUGAAGGAGGAAAGCUGCUAUCACUGUGGCAUUCAGAAGAGAAGUUCAGUAAGAGCUGUUCACCCAUCUGCUUUAUCAGUGCUCACAGCCAUGAAACAAGCAAACAGAAACGCACAAUUUAGGAUCAGACACCUGUAGUUCCCUAUUUUGUCAGCUCCCUUGAGGCAAAACAGAAGACAUAAGGGCUGUUCCUUCCCUUCUGUGUGUGAAAAUAGAAGUCCCUGUGUUGCAGCUGUGGCCUGCAGGACAUCCCACUGAUUUUGGAAGAGUCCUGGCUUGAAUUUCUAGGUGACUCAAUACCACUAGCAUCUGUCAUGUUGAUGAUUUUCAGAGUUACUAACUGCUUCUUGCACAGUGAAUUUCCCCUAAGUUUCUGGCCAUUUUACCUGUAGAAAUACACUUAGGGAAGUGUAGUUCCCAUCCCUGGGAAGUCUUAGGGGUUUUAUUCUCUCUCCUUUUCUAAAUGUAUAAGAAAAUAAUUGCAGAUUGUUACCCAGAUCAAAACAGGGAUGCUUUCUGAAGCUGUUUUAUCUCCUUUUCAGUUAUUCUGAACACACAGAAGCCAACAAUGGAUUUUACCGACCGAGGUAAGUGUAAAGAAGAUUAGCAGUGAAAAUGCACAUAUAUUUUCCUAGUUUGAAGUGGAAAUGGUCUUUUCUUGAUGCUACAUUACCGUAAAAAAUGUGUUCUAGGAGCUUGUAUGCACUUUAAAAAGGGAAUGGAGCUGAUCCACCAGCUUAUCUGUGAUCUUUCAGCUACUUCUUUGCACUAGCCUGAGAUGGUUGGAUGGUCUCUGCCCUUCAGAUCUGCUGCAAGAAUGUUAGGGAGCUAAGAUGGAAAUUGUUUGAGACUAGAAAAUCUCAUGUUUGUUUUCACUUCUUGCUCCAUUCUCCAGCCUGCUAAGCUUCAGUCAGUGACCCACCAAUCUCCCUUUCUUACCAGGUCUGACUCUGGUUAUAGGGACAGAUCUGCAGAUGCUGUAGACAAGCUGCAACAACGGUACGAGGCUUCUCCCUACACAGAUGAUGCAAAGUCUGAACCUGCAAGAUCAGAGCCUGGUGCUGGUAUUCACAGUGCUGCUGCUAGCAGCAGGUAGGUUCGGGGGGAAGAAUAAAUAAUGUAUUCACAGUAGAGUUGGAAGCA
This 2313-nucleotide long non-coding RNA is filed under the name Coturnix japonica (Japanese quail). RNAcentral's name for it is "lncRNA (ENSCJPG00005016913.1)". The record is from RNAcentral. Lineage: Eukaryota; Metazoa; Chordata; Aves; Galliformes; Phasianidae.